Serinus canaria (Common canary) is the source of this 530-nucleotide long non-coding RNA. RefSeq lists it as uncharacterized. The record is from RefSeq and is a predicted model, not a curated record. NCBI's taxonomy places the organism in Eukaryota, Metazoa, Chordata, Aves, Passeriformes, Fringillidae. The transcript has 4 exons.
UUCAGCUUCUGUUGCUCCAUGUGUCGUGCUCCAUAACUCCAUCUCACAGAGCAGGAGGAACACUGCCAAGGCUUUUUCUGGGAAUUUGCUCUGGUCCUGCUACUUCCCUGGUGGUGCUCAACUGAUGUGGUUUGUUUGCAGGGGGAAUAAAAUGCUCAGCUGUCAGCUCCUGUAGGGCCUGUCAGAGACCAGGGCAAGGACCAGCCCCUCUUUCAGCUCUGUGUUGCACAGCCAUGUUGUAAGCUCAGCUGCAGAUGAGAAGUGCUUUGUUUGUGACUCCUGGGUGCUCUGCACUUGAUGCAUCUCCCACAGAUGCAGGGCAAACUCUGCUCCUCCCGUCUGGCCUGGCUUGCAGUGAUGGAUUAAGUGGGAAGUCUCCAAGCACUUUAAAAGGAAGAUAACAUCACAGAUUGAAAAAUUUCCCAUCUUGAGGCUUCAGUGACCACGUUUGGAGCCAGCCAGAGGAACCCACUGUUCUCUCUCAGGGGCUGCCUGUGGUGCUGCAUUAACAUCACAUCUCUGUGGUGAAG